Molecule: transfer RNA, 64 nt
Filed under: Peirates lepturoides
Lineage: Eukaryota; Metazoa; Arthropoda; Insecta; Hemiptera; Reduviidae
Description: tRNA-His
Source: RNAcentral
ACUUGAAUAGUUUAAUUAGAAUAGUAAUUUGUGGAGUUACUGGUGCAGUAUUAUGCUUUAAGUC